AUGGGGGAAGCCCUGAUGCAGCGACGCCGCGUGAGCGAUGAAGCCCUUCGGGGUGUAAAGCUCUUUCGGCAGGGAAGAUAGUGACGGUACCUGCAGAAGCAGCUGCGGCUAACUACGUGCCAGCAGCCGCGGUAAUACGUAGGCAGCGAGCGUUGUUCGGAGUUACUGGGCGUAAAGGGUGUGUAGGCGGUUGUUUGAGUUUGGUGUGAAAUCUCCCGGCUCAACUGGGAGGGUGCGCCGAAUACUGAGCGACUAGAGUGCGGGAGAGGAAAGUGGAAUUCCUGGUGUAGCGGUGAAAUGCGUAGAUAUCAGGAGGAACACCGGUGGUGUAGACGGCUUUCUGGACCGUAACUGACGCUGAGACACGAAAGCGUGGGCAGCAAACAGGAUUAGAUACCCUGGUAGUCCACGCCCUAAACGAUGCAUAUUUGGUGUGGGCAGUUCAUUCUGUCCGUGCCGGAGCUAACGCGUUAAAUAUGCCGCCUGGGGAGUACAGUCGCAAG
This 503-nucleotide ribosomal RNA is filed under the name uncultured soil bacterium. RNAcentral describes it as "bacterial SSU rRNA". It matches the Rfam family "Bacterial small subunit ribosomal RNA", at positions 371 to 892 of the family's 1533-position model. The record is from RNAcentral.